This is a long non-coding RNA of Ictalurus punctatus (channel catfish), 312 nucleotides long. The record is from Ensembl. Lineage: Eukaryota; Metazoa; Chordata; Actinopteri; Siluriformes; Ictaluridae.
CAACAUUUAAACUUGUGAUUUUCUCACUAGCUGCUGCUUUUACAGCAAAUUAAUCAACAAAUUAAUCAACUCAUUCCCACUGUUCCCAGGAUAGGCUUCGGAUCCACUGCGACCCUGAUCAGGAUAAAGCAGUUGCACACAAAAAAUCUGCCAGACAACAGAGAAAAGUCAAAAAAACAGCAGGCCUGACAAUGAAAAAGGAAUGAAUAAGUGGGAGGAAAAAAAAGUAGUGAUGUCCUUUUAAUGGAACCACUUAUGAAGAAAUCUGGUGUUGUGGUGUGAUGAUGAUGUCAAGAUCCAAGAUAGCACUGG